Molecule: ribosomal RNA, 443 nt
Filed under: uncultured bacterium
Lineage: Bacteria
Description: bacterial SSU rRNA
Rfam family: Bacterial small subunit ribosomal RNA
Source: RNAcentral
UUGCCGGCGACCGGCGCACGGGUGAGUAACGCGUAUCCAACCUUCCGUACACUCAGGGAUAGCCUUUCGAAAGAAAGAUUAAUACCUGAUGGUAUGAUGAGAUUGCAUGGUAUCAUCAUUAAAGAUUUAUCGGUGUACGAUGGGGAUGCGUUCCAUUAGGUAGUAGGCGGGGUAACGGCCCACCUAGCCAACGAUGGAUAGGGGUUCUGAGAGGAAGGUCCCCCACAUUGGAACUGAGACACGGUCCAAACUCCUACGGGAGGCAGCAGUGAGGAAUAUUGGUCAAUGGACGAGAGUCUGAACCAGCCAAGUAGCGUGAAGGAUGAAGGUCCUACGGAUUGUAAACUUCUUUUAUAAGGGAAUAAACCCUCCCACGUGUGGGAGCUUGUAUGUACCUUAUGAAUAAGCAUCGGCUAACUCCGUGCCAGCAGCCGCGGUAAUAC